RNAcentral lists this ribosomal RNA (254 nucleotides) under uncultured bacterium. Its description in RNAcentral is "partial 16S ribosomal RNA". It matches the Rfam family "Bacterial small subunit ribosomal RNA", at positions 524 to 776 of the family's 1533-position model. The record is from RNAcentral.
UACGGGGGGAGCAAGCGUUGUUCGGAUUUACUGGGCGUAAAGGGCGCGUAGGCGGCCACUGCAAGUCGGUUGUGAAAUCUCCGGGCUUAACCCGGAAAGGUCAAUCGAUACUGCAGGGCUAGAGUGCGGAAGGGGCAACUGGAAUUCUCGGUGUAGCGGUGAAAUGCGUAGAUAUCGAGAGGAACACCUGCGGCGAAGGCGGGUUGCUGGGCUGACACUGACGCUGAAGCGCGAAAGCUAGGGGAGCGAACGGG